GCCUCGCUAGCUCAAUCGGUAGAGCGUGAGACUCUUAUGUAUGAUACAUGGCGGUUUAUCUCAAGGUUGCGGGUUCGACCCCCGCGUGGGGCU
Non-coding RNA from Tuber magnatum (white Piedmont truffle), 93 nucleotides. Lineage: Eukaryota; Fungi; Ascomycota; Pezizomycetes; Pezizales; Tuberaceae. The record is from the annotation of a GenBank genome assembly.